UACGGAGGGUGCAAGCGUUAUCCGGAUUCACUGGGCUUAAAGGGUGCGUAGGUGGUUUGGUAAGUCAGUGGUGAAAUCUCCGAGCUUAACUUGGAAACUGCCAUUGAUACUAUCAGUCUUGAAUAUUGUGGAGGUCAGCGGAAUAUGUCAUGUAGCGGUGAAAUGCUUAGAUAUGACAUAGAACACCAAUUGCGAAGGCAGCUGGCUACACAUAUAUUGACACUGAGGCACGAAAGCGUGGGGAUCAAACAGG
This 253-nucleotide ribosomal RNA is filed under the name uncultured bacterium. RNAcentral describes it as "partial 16S ribosomal RNA". It matches the Rfam family "Bacterial small subunit ribosomal RNA", at positions 524 to 776 of the family's 1533-position model. The record is from RNAcentral.